AACGCGAAGAACCUUACCUGGGUUUGAAAGGCAAGUGACAACCGAUGAAAGUCGGUCUUGUAGCAAUACACACUUGUACAGGUGCUGCAUGGCUGUCGUCAGCUCGUGCCGUGAGGUGUUAGGUUAAGUCCUGCAACGAGCGCAACCCCUGCACUUAGUUGCCAUCAGGUCAAGCUGGGCACUCUAGGUGGACUGCCUACGCAAGUAGCGAGGAAGGUGGGGAUGACGUCAAGUCCUCAUGGCCCUUACACCCAGGGCCACACACGUGCUACAAUGGCCACUACAAUGGGCUGCAAAAUCGCAAGGUUGAGCCAAUCCCAUAAAAGUGGUCUCAGUUCGGAUUGAGGGCUGCAACUCGCCCUCAUGAAGCUGGAAUUGCUAGUAAUCGCGGAUCAGCACGCCGCGGUGAAUACGUUCCCGGGUCUUGUACACACGC
This 436-nucleotide ribosomal RNA is filed under the name uncultured bacterium. Its description in RNAcentral is "bacterial SSU rRNA". It matches the Rfam family "Bacterial small subunit ribosomal RNA", at positions 958 to 1393 of the family's 1533-position model. The record is from RNAcentral.